This 460-nucleotide long non-coding RNA is filed under the name Olea europaea subsp. europaea. The record is from RNAcentral. Lineage: Eukaryota; Viridiplantae; Streptophyta; Magnoliopsida; Lamiales; Oleaceae.
AACGAUUUAAGUCCAUCAAGCUUUAAGUCUCCAUUACACCUCUUUCUCUCCAGCUAUUACAUGGAAAAAGACACUUUGAAUGGAAAAAUCUGUAUUCUUCUGUUCUUCCUGUUCAUCUUCUCUGCUGUACUCAAUCACACUAAAGCCCGAGAAAAUAAAAACAGAGGAAAUUGUCAGAUAGAUCAUUCGUACACAACGCGUGGGAUAGGGAGUGUGAUUGAUCAAAGUUCUCGCGUUGGCAAGGAGCAGAAAAUUGCCAUUCAGAUUGCUGUCAGUGACUUUAAUAAGCUUUCGUCUUGUUCAAAGCUGGCUUUGCACAUAAAAGAUUUACAUGGCAAGUCAGCUCAAGCAGCUUCUACUGGUAAAGUUUAUGCUUGCUUCAUGAAACACAGCCAUUUUUUAUUAAUUGUAGAUAGAUGUUUCUUGAAAUGUAUUACUCUGCCUAGUUUUUGUUGUUUUC